UAGCAUAAAUUCCCCUGUAUCUUCCUCCACUCACUUCAUCUGGUUCAAACUAACUACUAAUAUGCUCAUAUUAUCAAUGUGGUAUGCAUAUUGUACCUAAUUGCCUGUAUUUUUCCUUCCUUCUUGUUCCGUUGAGAUGCAGCUCGAUUGGUUGAGAGACCAUGAAUAACCUUGGGAGCGCUCUAGAAAAAUUAAGCGUAAAUCGCAUAUGCCGAUCGAUGUAGAUCUUAAUAAAAACUGUAACAACUAUCUUACCAUGGACUACCUCAGUUCCUCCAGAUCCCUCCCAAGCCCUAUUUGAUUGCUAUAAGGCAGCACUGUGGGUAUAAUCUUCCAUGUCGUACUUGUAUCCUCUAAAAUUAUCAUGGUUUGUUUUACGAGAAUUCAAAGUCCCAAGUUUCUU
This 403-nucleotide long non-coding RNA is filed under the name Oryza brachyantha (malo sina). RNAcentral describes it as "long non-coding RNA (OBRA_LNC003145)". The record is from RNAcentral. Lineage: Eukaryota; Viridiplantae; Streptophyta; Magnoliopsida; Poales; Poaceae.